UAUUUUGAUACAAACCAAACUGACCCAUUUAAGAGAGCUUCUAACACCUACAUCAAAGGGAGGUGGUGGUGCUGGUGAAGGUUUUGAUGUUACAAAAAGUGGUGAUGCAAGGGUUGGUCUUGUGGGAUUCCCCUCUGUUGGAAAAUCAACACUUUUACAUAAGUUAACUGGCACUUUUUCAGAGGUUACUUCAUAUGAGUUUACUACUCUCACCUGCAUUCCAGGUGUUAAUACAUAUCGAGGAGCUAAGAUUCAGAUGUUGACUUAGGCCUAUAAAUGAACCGAAUGAACACGA
This is a long non-coding RNA of Helianthus annuus (common sunflower), 295 nucleotides long. RefSeq lists it as uncharacterized. NCBI's taxonomy places the organism in Eukaryota, Viridiplantae, Streptophyta, Magnoliopsida, Asterales, Asteraceae. The record is from RefSeq and is a predicted model, not a curated record. The transcript is spliced from 3 exons.